GCUGUACGACAGGAAGGGCACGCGUCAGCACCCCCCGGGGACCGCGUGAGGACAACCAAUCAGCACGCACUCACCAGGCACUCGGAGGACACACAGACAGACACCGUCCACACACACACACAUACGGCCUGCACUAUCCUCGUCAUCGAUGAUGGAUGACGUAUGAUCCUUCUGGGAUCAUAGUCCAUAACACGCUAAAGCCUGAUUAAAAAGUGCUUAAUAAGGGGAACGAUAUCUGCUGCAGGAGGAUAUGAUUCAGACGAGUAACAACAGUUUCAAUGAAGGACUGAACGUCUGGGUGAUCCGCUAAUGGUACCUCCUCUAGUGUCUACAGGCUGACCGCUGGUCUGUGGACUGUGCUGUGGACUGUGCUGUGGACUGGUCUGUGGAGGUCCUGCUGGUCAUCAAGAGGUGAGAGGAGACGCUGUGAUCGCCGUCUUCAUCUGAGACACAAGCUCUUCGCCGGACCCAGAAGGUGGAGUCAGCUGUUCUUGGUUCUUGAUAAUUAUAGGGUGAAAUUAAGUAGAAACAGGAGAUGGGGCGUCAGGGAGCGCAGGCAGCGGACAAGGAGGGCGAUUUUUCUUCUCCAACAUGUAGGACAGGGUCUGGACGCCAUGGGUCCAGGAAGUAGAUAAGUCUUCCGUGUCGUCACUUCCUGCUUGGGUUCCAUCAGAGUCAAGCGGUGGAAUCACAAGAAGGAAGUUCAGAAUGCGGAACGAAGAAAGGCCUCGAGCACUCCCGUUUCCGGAAACCUUGAAGCCCCCGGAAAGCUUGAUCCAUCCAUGUCUUAAUAAUAAUCCUAUCAAUAUCUUCAUCAGCCCUGGAUCAAUAUCUUCAUCAGCCCUGGAUCAAUAACUUAAUCAGCCCUGGAUCCACAGAGCUCAGCCCUUUGGGACAACCGCCCUGGCAGCAGAACCUCCUCAUAUCCUGAUGCAGCAGCUAUCUGUGAACUAUGUGGGGGGUUAUGAACAAGCAAACAAUGCAGUGAUGUCAACAUAAUCUUUGGGUUUAUAUUAGUGAUGGAAACAAUGUCAUUGGUUGAAGAUACCCAAAUAUUAACUAAUUAUAUACUUAAGGGAAUAGACUUAGGCAGAGGGGAGGCAGUUGUUUCUUAUAAAGGGCAACAAGCUUCUAAAGAUGUCUAUCACGGCUCCAUGAAUGGUAUUCAGCCCAAUGAUUUAGGAGGCCAACGGUAAAUACAUCAAACUGCCAAGUUUAAUCCACUGCUGACACUUGUUUGUAGGCUAAAGGUCACAAGACACCGGUGAACAGCGCUCUGAGAACACAGCGGGGCUUUGUGUAAAUAAUGAGGUGGAGCCACGCCUACAGGGGGGGGCUGGUCAUCAGGGAGGAGCUAAUGCACUGUUCUAAAGUCUCCUCUAAGAACACCAUAUGGCCUUACUACAUAUUUACCAUAAUGUUAUCAUAAUAAUAAUGAUAAAUAUAAUAAAAAGGAAGAGUCUAAUAGGAAGUAUGUUGAACCAAGUGACAUUGCCUCCCAAACACCGAACUAGAUUUGGUCUCACUACAAGUCCAUUGUUUGCUUAUUUAUAGAUAAAACUAAAUCAAAUGAUUAACUGUUCCUUCUUUCCUGCUAAGCAGGUGUGUAAAUAAAGUUGAGGAAAUGGUGCACAUGAAAAACAUUCUCGGUAGAAUUUGAAAUAAAAAUUAAAACACAUCAAUCUGAAUAGAGUCCCAUCAAAUGAACGCUUCCAAAGCCCCCAGGUGGUCUGCCCUCGUGUGGUUGGUGGAUGGUCUCACUAACGGCUGGAUGGUCUCACUAACGGGUGGAUGGUCUCACUAAAGGGUGGAUGGUCUCACUAAAGGGUGGAUGGUCUCACUAACGGCUGGAUGGUCUCACUAACGGGUGGAUGAUCUCACUAACGGGUGGAUGGUCU
Long non-coding RNA from Gadus macrocephalus (Pacific cod), 1898 nucleotides. RefSeq lists it as uncharacterized. The record is from RefSeq and is a predicted model, not a curated record. The transcript has 2 exons. Lineage: Eukaryota; Metazoa; Chordata; Actinopteri; Gadiformes; Gadidae.